This 267-nucleotide long non-coding RNA is filed under the name Moschus moschiferus (Siberian musk deer). RNAcentral describes it as "lncRNA (ENSMMSG00000022224.1)". Lineage: Eukaryota; Metazoa; Chordata; Mammalia; Artiodactyla; Moschidae. The record is from RNAcentral.
AAAGCUUCUAGAUGGAUCCUUUCCAUGUUUGGUGUCUUUUCUACAAACUCUGUGCCUCAGCAGCCCUUUCUAAGUGAGCUGAAGCCAUUUAUUUGAUCUUGGAUGAUUAACACCUAAAUGGUUGAUUGUCAAAACUGCUCAAGAGUCCCACAGCCAGGAUUCGAUGAUCCAGCUUACCACCAAGAAAUUAUUGUCUUGAAUUCUACGCUUCAGCACCAGUCAGCAAAGUGAAUAAGUACUGCACUUCUUCCAACUCUCAUUCCACUU